This 497-nucleotide ribosomal RNA is filed under the name uncultured bacterium. RNAcentral describes it as "partial 16S ribosomal RNA". It matches the Rfam family "Bacterial small subunit ribosomal RNA", at positions 28 to 507 of the family's 1533-position model. The record is from RNAcentral.
GAUGAACGCUGGCGGCGUGCCUAAUACAUGCAAGUCGAGCGAACAGACGAGGAGCUUGCUCCUCUGACGUUAGCGGCGGACGGGUGAGUAACACGUGGAUAACCUACCUAUAAGACUGGGAUAACUUCGGGAAACCGGAGCUAAUACCGGAUAAUAUAUUGAACCGCAUGGUUCAAUAGUGAAAGACGGUUUUGCUGUCACUUAUAGAUGGAUCCGCGCCGCAUUAGCUAGUUGGUAAGGUAACGGCUUACCAAGGCAACGAUGCGUAGCCGAACUGAGAGAGUGAUCGGCCACACGGGAACGUGGACACGGUCCAGGCGCCUACGGGAGGCAGCAGUAGGGAAUCUUCCGCAAUGGGCGAAAGCCUGACGGAGCAACGCCGCGUGAGUGAUGAAGGUCUUCGGAGCGUAAAGCUCUGUUUUUAGGGAAGAACAAAUGUGUAAGUAACUAUGCACGUCUUGACGGUACCUAAUCAGAAAGCCACGGCUAACUACGUG